GAGCGAUGGAAGCUUGCUUCUAUCAAUCUUAGUGGCGAACGGGUGAGUAACGCGUAACCAACCUGCCCUUCAGAGGGGGAUAACAACGGGAAACCGUUGCUAAUACCGCGUACGAAUGGACUUCGGCAUCGAAGCUCAUUGAAAGGUGGCCUCUAUAUAUAAGCUAUCGCUGAAGGAGGGGGUUGCGUCUGAUUAGCUAGUUGGAGGGGUAACGGCCCACCAAGGCAAUGAUCAGUAGCCGGUCUGAGAGGAUGAACGGCCACAUUGGGACUGAGACACGGCCCAAACUCCUACGGGAGGCAGCAGUGGGGAAUCUUCCGCAAUGGACGAAAGUCUGACGGAGCAACGCCGCGUGAGUGAUGACGGCCUUCGGGUUGUAAAGCUCUGUUAAUCGGGACGAAUGGUCUUUGUGCAAAUAGUGCAGAGAUUUGACGGUACCGGAAUAGAAAGCCACGGCUAACUACGUGCCAGCAGCCGCGGUAAUACGUAGGUGGCAAGCGUUGUCCGGAAUUAUUGGGCGUAAAGCGCGCGCAGGCGGUUUCGUAAGUCUGUCUUAAAAGUGCGAGGCUCAACCUCGUGAGGGGAUGGAAACUAUGGAACUAGAGUAUCGGAGAGGAAAGCGGAAUUCCUAGUGUAGCGGUGAAAUGCGUAGAUNUUAGGAAGAACACCAGUGGCGANNGCGGCUUUCUGGACGACAACUGACGCUGAGGCGCGAAAGCCAGGGGAGCGAACGGGAUUAGAUACCCCGGUAGUCCUGGCCGUAAACGAUGG
This 771-nucleotide ribosomal RNA is filed under the name uncultured bacterium. RNAcentral describes it as "bacterial SSU rRNA". It matches the Rfam family "Bacterial small subunit ribosomal RNA", at positions 68 to 812 of the family's 1533-position model. The record is from RNAcentral.